GGAACACUGGGUUGCUCACUGUUGUUGAUGAUACCGCAAUAGAGCAGCAAACUAAGGAGGUCUUGACAGCAAUGUGCGUGGCUUUCAACUCGAAAACGGUGAUGAACAGGGCUCCAGAAAAAAUCUCAAUGGAGAUCCUAGCUAUCAGACAGAACAUGGUGACCUUGGCUGCAAAUGAAGAGGUUGUGGCUGCUUUGACUUUGGCUAUGGACUUGGUGUCCUCGUCAAUUAGCACAAGAGAUGCUGCUCCAAUGGAGGAGACAGAGGUAACCACAUCACAGGACUCGACGAUCUUUGAUGUCAGGAUUGCAGGUGUCAACACGGUAAUUGAGUUGGCUGCUGAUGGGGCACAACUUGAUGCCGCACAUACCAUCAUUGCUGAAGCAAAGGUGCAAGUAGAAGCAGGUGGGAAGCAUCCCUCUCAAGAAGUUAGACAACGCUCUCGUCAACCGAUUGAUCCUACACCAACACGUCAAAGUGAACUACAGAAGACAAUGCUAAACGAGAAAACUGAUUAGCACAUAUUUG
RNAcentral lists this long non-coding RNA (528 nucleotides) under Oryza sativa Indica Group (long-grained rice). RNAcentral's name for it is "lncRNA OsMH63_10G008830". Lineage: Eukaryota; Viridiplantae; Streptophyta; Magnoliopsida; Poales; Poaceae. The record is from RNAcentral.